GGCCCAGCGGAUCGAAGAUGACGACGAUCUGAGCUUUCUUCUUCCAUGGAGUUUCGAUUCCCUCGCAUUUGGCUCCCUCUUGUUGUGUAAUAAGCUCUCCUCCUCUUCGAUUUUGGGGAAAGAGAGAGGAAAAAAAAACGUUCGAUGUUAUUUUUUUUUGUCGCGGAUUUGGGCGUGGGUUUCUCCAGAUUAUCCACGAUGUGAAAGAUUCUCCCAUUCAAUGAGCGAUUCUAGGAUGUGGGUCUGAGG
Molecule: long non-coding RNA, 249 nt
Organism: Tarenaya hassleriana
Lineage: Eukaryota; Viridiplantae; Streptophyta; Magnoliopsida; Brassicales; Cleomaceae
Exons: 2
Source: RefSeq, a predicted model, not a curated record